This 253-nucleotide ribosomal RNA is filed under the name uncultured bacterium. RNAcentral describes it as "partial 16S ribosomal RNA". It matches the Rfam family "Bacterial small subunit ribosomal RNA", at positions 524 to 776 of the family's 1533-position model. The record is from RNAcentral.
UACGUAGGCAGCGAGCGUUGUUCGGAGUUACUGGGCGUAAAGAGUGCGUAGGCGGUGGCCCAAGUCUGGUGUGAAAUCUCCCGGCUCAACCGGGAGGGUGCGCCGGAAACUGGGUUGCUUGAGUACUGAAGAGGGUCGCGGAAUUCCCGGUGUAGAGGUGAAAUUCGUAGAUAUCGGGAGGAACACCAGUGGCGAAGGCGGCGACCUGGGCAGAUACUGACGCUGAGGUGCGAAAGCGUGGGGAGCAAACAGG